UGGACUAAUGAUGAGAAUGUGUCAUGAACCAAAGUUUAUAAUUAAUCUAAUUCUGUUCAAACAAGCAGAGAAAACUGACCUUA
RNAcentral lists this small nucleolar RNA (83 nucleotides) under Choloepus hoffmanni (Hoffmann's two-fingered sloth). RNAcentral describes it as "Small nucleolar RNA SNORD112 (ENSCHOG00000015936.1)". Lineage: Eukaryota; Metazoa; Chordata; Mammalia; Pilosa; Megalonychidae. The record is from RNAcentral.